CCCGCCGUAGCUCAGCGGUCAGAGCGCCCGGCUGUAGUGGGACGGGGCGGCUGGAGGCCUAGCCCCUCCGGCCGACACCGGGUGGUCCGGGGUUCAAUUCCCCGCGGCGGGA
This 112-nucleotide transfer RNA is filed under the name Acidilobus saccharovorans 345-15. It matches the Rfam family "tRNA". Rfam says of the family: Transfer RNA (tRNA) molecules are approximately 80 nucleotides in length. Their secondary structure includes four short double-helical elements and three loops (D, anti-codon, and T loops). Lineage: Archaea; Thermoproteati; Thermoproteota; Thermoprotei; Acidilobales; Acidilobaceae. The record is from Rfam by way of RNAcentral.